Ostrea edulis (European flat oyster) is the source of this 1222-nucleotide long non-coding RNA. RefSeq lists it as uncharacterized. The transcript has 3 exons. The record is from RefSeq and is a predicted model, not a curated record. NCBI's taxonomy places the organism in Eukaryota, Metazoa, Mollusca, Bivalvia, Ostreida, Ostreidae.
UUAAUUACACGUAAGUCAAUUAUUACUAUUUAGUGCAUUGUGGAUGAGCCCAUUAGACGAAUUCGACGAGUCCUAAUUCGCUCCUUAGAAAGAACUAAACACGUAAUCAUUACUAAGCCAAAACAAUUCACAUGUAAUUGCAGUGUAACUACGUGCGUUUGCAGAUUUAGUGUAGUUUUUUUUUACUUUUAUGUACAUCUUUAACCAUCCAAUGUAAACCUUUUCGUUUGUCCCGAGGAAGGGACAGAUCGUCCCGAAAAUUUGACAAUGUAAUUCUUCGUGUAGUUGGUCAUUUUAACGCUUUAAAUAAUUCUUGUAUUUGACCUUGUAUACGCAUAAAAUUUAGGCCUAUGUUCGGCGCUGACGACCUUUGAACAAGGCGUAUCCUUGUCGUGUCACACCGCUAUUGUUGGAACCGAGUACGUGUAUAAAUAUUUAAGGAAUGAAUUUAAUUUUUGGGCAUAUUAUUCGAUAUUACCCGAUUGCCUCGGGGAUUAUAAAGCGAAAACUGAUCCUAAUCAGGUUAUAUCGUAUAAGAUGCCCCAAUAUUGAAUGUAUUCCUUAGAAUCUAAUGCACAAAGACAAAAGGACUAAUCUUCGUUUAUCAAAAUGUACAAACACACUGGUGUAACUACGGUUCAUCUGCGCCGCGCUAGGAUUGACCUAGCAACUGCUAACAAAGCGUCUCGGUUCUUCGGAGCAUGUAGUUUAGGCAUACAUGUAUAUAUUGGGAAAAUCUAUAAGCCCGUGAUCUGGGGAAAUAAACAACACCGGAAGUUUCGUGAACUCAAGUACACAGAAACUGAAUACGUCAUUGAAUGUACUUUGGACUCUCCCUUCGACUCACCGCCCCUUUGCCGACGACCUUGCAGUAGCUAAAGAAAAAUAGCCAUAGUUUGAAUUUGGAAUAGUAUACUCAAUGGUAGAUCAUAUGUUUCGUCCGUGUGGUGAUUUUUAACAAACAAAAUGGCUCACAGCUGGUGUGACCGGUCGACAGGGGAUGCUUACUCCUCCUAGGCACCUGAUCCCACCUCUGGUGUGUCCAUGGAUCCGUGUUUGCCCAACUCUGUAUUUUGUAUUUUUAAAUUUCAGAUGUUGAGCAAAGAAGAAAUUAAAAGAUUUACAUGCAUCAUUCUUUUAUAUCAUGUUUAUUUUGCACAUGAGCUUCAUGUCUUCCUGUUAAGACUCUCUCAUUCUGCAAAAUAGAAGAAAACAUAUGAAG